RNAcentral lists this long non-coding RNA (7159 nucleotides) under Malus domestica (apple). Its description in RNAcentral is "long non-coding RNA (MDOM_LNC014798)". The record is from RNAcentral. Lineage: Eukaryota; Viridiplantae; Streptophyta; Magnoliopsida; Rosales; Rosaceae.
GGAGUGGAGACUUAGACUUAAAUUUUAUGAUGGAAUUUUAUGAAAUUGGGAUUGGUUUGGACAUGUGGGAUCCCCACACCUCAAAACCCUCCCCAUUUCCCGUAUACUGUCCUUCAUACUCUCUCUCUUCCUCAGCUCUUCCUCAGAAACUCUCAUUCUCUCUCUUCUUCUCGAACGCACGGGCAACCACCAAAACCACCUAAAACCUAUACCAACGUUCCAUUUAAGACCACCAUCGUGAUCCUGGGGACUUCACGAGCACGGGGAUACCAAUUUCAGGUGAGUUUCACUUCGAAAACCCUAGUUCUAAAGUUGCCGUGAGAUGACACUGUUCAUGAGCUUUGAAUUGGUUACGUUUUAGGCUAAAACAAGAUCACAGCGAGUUUAGUAAGGUCCCAAGGAAGCUCGGAGUGCUUCGUUGGAAGUUUUUGGACGUAAGAACACGGAGAUCGACAAGUUCAAAGUUUGGCCGGAGCUUUCGAGGCGUUUUCCGGCGAAUCCCCGGAGAGUUAGGAGUCGAGGUAGGUGUCAAUCUCUUCGUCUCGUCAAGUACUACAACUUUCCUUUUUUGUUUCACUCAAUUUCGUUGAGUAUUGAAGAAGUUAUACUCAUUUUGAAAAAUACCCAGUUUCCGGCGACCUCCGAGGCUUUCGAGGCCGUUUCCGGCCAAACCACGGCGAACUAGGUGUUGUGCAAGGUACCAUUCUCUUUGUCUCUUCAAGGGCUACAACUUUCGUUUUUGAAUCACUUGAUUUCGUUGAGAAAUGACAAAGUUAUGGCAAUUUGAAAAACUGCCCGGAAAACGGCCGCCGGAAAAACCAGUCCGGCGACCCAAGGAAGAAGAAGGUGCUACAGUAAAAAUAAAAAAAAUAAAAAUAAAAUUAUUUUAAAAAUAUGUCGACGUCCGUGACGUCGAGUAGAUCACUGUGGUAUAUUCAUAUACCUAAAUUGAACACCGUAUGAGAAAGUUAUUAAGGAUUGUUGGUUAGGUGUUCAAAUAACGUUUUAUAGUUUUCACAUUAGGUGAAAAUGUGAAUUGAUGAUCCGACCGUUGGAUCAUCACCAAACUUUGAUACGUUGUAAUACGUAAUAUUUGAGGAUUAUAGGAACUUACAGAUUGGGAAUCCGAUUUGCGGAUCUUCCGAAAUUGGAGUUGUAAGUCCAUAAUAUAGAAUGUUAACCGUCACUUAGUUUUGGAAAUUGACGGAAAUCCAACCGUUUGAUAGUAAUGAAAUUUUAGGAUGUUAUCCUAGAGAUAUACUGUGGACCUCUGGAAGUUAUGGAUUUAAAAUCUGAGUGGCAGAUCUUCCGGAUCGAACUACGUAGUGACGUAUUUUAUAUAAGUUAAAUAUUAUAUCGAUAUGAAUUCUGAGGUUGGAUUUGAUUUCUAUUCUAGGCGGCGAUCGUCGUGACGCCUUGAUGUGUGGUGCUAGGGAGUUGUUGGAUGAACUCCAGGUGAGUGGGCAGUUUUGUUUUCCGUAUAUAUAUAUAUACUUAACGUUUUCCCAGAAAUUGAAAAUGCAUGAAAUUAUGUUUAAAAUGAAAUGCAUAUGAGUUAUGUGAGAAAAAACGGGAAGUGAAAUACCAUGCAUAGAAUUGAUAUGAAAAGUAUAUAGAAAUGUGAGUUGAAAUGCCAUGCAUGAAUUAAUAUAUGAUGCAUAUGUAUGAAUUGGUGCGGUGGACGCACAGGUAAGAAUUGAUUUAUGAUGCAUAUGUAUGAAUUGGUGCGGUGGACGCACAGGUAAGAAUUGAUUUAUGAUGCAUAUGUAUGAAAUGGUGCGGUGGACGCACAGAUGAGUAUUUAAUUACUGUUAUGAUGAUGAUGAUAUAUAUUGAGCUCAAAUCCUGCACCAUGGUUUAGUGCUUAUAGUAUUCACCGCAUCGCACGCUCGCCUUGGAUCCAAGUAGAUGCUAGUCGUACAGUCCACGCGGAGUGGGUACGACAGGCCAGUCGCGAGAGUGUUAGUGAGAUUCCGACUGGUGGGUGACCUUAGAUUAUGUGCACAGAUGAUUUAUGAGAAGCACUAGAGCGUAACUUGUGUGCAGAAGGCCGGACGGGUCACAGAGGUGACUCCGGUAGAGUGAUAAUGAUAGAUUUUGAGCUCUAGGUUCAACCGUAUAGGGCUAUUAGAGGGCCUACGGUUGAUUACUUUCUUGCACCUGAUAUGAUUAUGUUGAUGCAUUCAUACCUUAUUACUGUUGAGAUAAUGUGGCAUGGCAUAAUUAAUAUGAGAAAUGUUGAGAUGACAUGGCAUGGCAUGAUUGAUAAAGAGAUAAUGUUGAGAUAGUAAAAAUGAAGUUUUGAGAAUAUAUAUGUAUAUUUAUAUUUUACAUUUCUGGGAAAGUAUACAGGUUUUACGGAGAGGGGUUACAACGUUUUGAGAAAUGUUUGGAUUUGGAAAAGAAUUGUUUUACUGACCCACUCAAUUUUGGUUUUGCGCCCCUCCAGGUUCAGGAAUCACAAAGGUGUGGUGACUACGAGGAAUUCGACGGUGUUCUGACAGAUUGGACAAAAUUAGGACUCACCUUCGGGUGUAUCAACUUAUAAAUUGUAUAAUUAAAGCUUCCGUACUGUGCAAAUGGUUACGUCACUCUCACGUGACGGCCAGCAUGCCCUCCUUCGGGACGGGGUGUGUCAGUUGGUAUCAGAGCAUGGUUGCAAUCUUGGACAUCUUGAGAAGUUUCUAGUGAAUUCUGUCAGAACUACACCGCCUCGUAGCAAGCCACUUAGUUAGAGGAAUUUAGUCUCCCUAAUAUAGCGGUUUAGGGAAAACUAUUAUUAUGGUGAUUCAGUCUAUUAUAAAAAGGGACAUUUUAAGACGGAUUAUGAGUUGAAUUUGAAUCACUUAAGAGAAAUGAUGAACCUGAGGGAACAAAGUGACGGAUUAACCAAUUGGAAAAGAUGUUUCGGAAUAUGCAAGUCAAAGGAAUCUUCCUUCUGACAGGGGGUCGAGACGACUACCUGGUUUUGGGUAUGAAUUUGUAUCCUGGUGGAAACAGGAGUAUGAUGUGUUGUCACCGGAGGAACAGCCGAUUUAAAAUUGUUUAAGGACUUGUUUAAGGGAAAAGUUUAUCCCUCCGGCAUUUAUCGAUGGUAGUAAACAAGAGUUUACAAAUAUGAGACAAGGAAGGUGAUGAUCGAGGGAUAUUAUAGAAAGUUUUCAGACUUGCCUCGUUCCAUCCAGAUAUGGUUGUUAUUGGUGGAGGUGUUAUGUUGUUUUUAAGCUGGGUGGCAAAAAGGGAAGUGGUAUUUUUGGGUGACCACUAUCCAUUAUACUUCUUACCAGGAAUAUACGAGAUGCUGUUGAGUCUUGAGGACUCUGAGAACAUGAUCAACGAGAAUAAAGAAGAAUAAGAAAUGAAUGGGAAUUAAAAGAAGACGAUAAAGUUAAUGAUUCGUCUUAUCAAGGAUAUAGAAAGAUUCAGAGCUUCGAAAGAAGUGAAGCUAGAGUUAAUUCUUCCAGCUGAGGUUUUAAUGUCGCUGGUCAGAGUAAAAGUGAUGGAUAUACUAGUAAUCCCAGAUAUUUGAGACAAGGUGUCUCGAGUAAAGGAAAUGUACUUUGUGCAGCAGGUACAAAAUUAACACUUUGGGAAGUGUGAAAUUAAUGAAUGUGUUUAUGUGAACAGAGGGGACACAGAAUUGUGAAUCGUCCCUAGAAUCAGUUGUACUCAACAGUUUUCUAUGACAUCGUAGUGUCGAUUCAGCAAGUUUAUGAACUUAGUAGUUUGGUCGGAUUGACCGUGGGUACAGAGAGAUUUGAUGAGUUAUAUGUUCAGCCGUACAGACCAUGAGAGGUGGAUCUGGCUGACGCAUGAGAAAUUGGUGAGUUAUAGGCUCGGCCGUACCGACCACGCGGAGUGGAUCCGGCCGACGUAUUAUUGAGAUAAGAGUUGAAUCAACCGUAUUGGUCAUUCUAGUUGACUUCGGCUGAUAUAUUUCUUAUUAUGUAUGUUAUACCUAGAGAGUAGUAAAUAAAUGUAGUUGAGACGAGUGUAUGUAUUUUGCAUUGAGUGACAAAAUAGUAAUGUUAUAUCUUUGUGAGUGGUUGCCUACUUAUCGAGACAACGAUGAUUUAUCAGUAUUGCGGGCUGCAGACCGUAAUAUUAAUAACUCAUUCGUGGAUUCGUUAAGCAAGCAACCCGGUAGAUUAUUUUAUGUUAGUAUUGUACUUAUUUGGAAUGCUUAAUAAUAAUAGAAUAUAUAUUGUAUCAGUUAAUUCUGUUCCAUUAGAUUGGUUGGUUAUAAUUGUGACAAGACGAAAUGUUAUGGGAAACCAGUACUUUCCAUCGAUCUGGAUGAACAGAGAUUACUUUUGUAAGUAUGCAAAAUGGAUUGAGUCAGGCUGUUAUUUAUGCUGUGAGAGCAAAGAGAUUGUUUUCGAAAGGCUGUCAAAAAUACUUAGCUCAUGUGGUGCUAAAUGAUGUUGUUUGGAGUAGUGUGAAUAAUGUCGAAAGAGUUAGACUUUUCUUGAUGUCUUCCCUGAAAGUAUACCUGGAUUGCCUUCAGGCAGAGAUAUGAGGUUCACUAUUGAUUUGUUGCCAGGUAUAAAUUUAUGUUAAAGAUUGGUUCAUGAUGAGUUAAGGGAAUUAGAAAUUCAGUUGAGAGAAUUGGUUGAUAAAAGUUUUAUUCAACCAGUACAACACUCUUGAGGAGCACCAGUUUGUUGGUGAGAAAGAAAAUGGAUCUUGAGACUGUUCAUUGAUUAUAGACAAUGGAGUCGGGUAACGAUUGAGAACCGUUAUCCAUGGUGAUGUACUGAUGUUUAUUUAACCAGCUCAGAAGUAAUUGCGAAGAUUCAAAGAUUGAAUUGAGGUCUGGUUAUUACCAAUUAAAGAUUAUGAGCGACGUUGUUCUUAAGAUUGUUUUAUGAAUUAUGGUGAUGCUAUAUGGAUACUCAUGCUGUUUUAUGAGUUAUUGGAUGAAGUAUUCCAAUAAUGCCUUGAUAAAUAGAUAUCAUUUUCAUUGAAGAUAUUCUGGCAUAUUCUGAGCCAGAGCAGAGCAUGUAAAUGUAUUAAGUCGGUGGAACAAAGAUUGGAAGAAUGUCGGUUGUAUGCUAAGUAGCAAAUGCUAAAGUUAGAUGAAUCAGGUGGCAUUCUGAGAUUUGUUAUAUAUUCUUAAGGUAUUCAAGUGAAUCCUUAAAAGAUAGCAGAAAUUGAGGAAUUGGAACAACCACGAACUGUAAUUGAGAUUCGGAAUUUCUUAGCUUACCAGGCUAUCUUGGAUGGUUGUGAAAGAUUUUUCAGUCAUUGCUUUGUCAUUGACGAGACUGUUGAGAAAGGAGGUUAUGUAUGAGUGGGAAGGAAAUUGUGAGCAAAGGUUUCAACAACUGAAGUAUUUCCUCACUCAUGCACGUAUUUUGGUAUUCCCAAAGAAUAGUGGUAAUCAUAAAUUUUUAGUGAUGUUUCUUGAAUGGUAUUGGAGGCAUGUUGAUGCAAAUGUUAGGGUGAUUGCAUACGUUUCACGAUAAAUGGAAUCUCAUAAGAUGAAUUACCCUACGGGUGACUUGGAAGUCAUGAUUACCAUUCUUGCUGUGAAGUUAUGAAGGCAUUAUAUUUGGUAAGAAUGCAAGAUUUUUACGAAUCCAAAAAGUCUUCAAUAUCCAUUACUUGGAAGGAUUUUGAUAUGAGGCAGCGAAAGUGAAUUGUAUUGCUUAAUGAACAUGAUUGUACGAUCAGGGUGAUCGUAAAGUUUGUUCUAGCUCAAGCACUUGGUGAGAAGACUACAGUAAGAUUAAUGUCUGGCACGUUUGCCAAGAGUAUCAUCUUGUGGAUUGAAAACCAACGGAAGAAAAAUUAAGAAUGGAAGAUCGAGAAGAAGUUAUACUUGUUAAGUAACAAGUUAGUACAUUUACUCCAGUGUUGAGUAACAACCUUUCCCAGACAGUGCAACAUUACUUAUUUGUUUUAUGGAAAAGAGAAUUGGUUUACGGAACUGCUGAGUUUCUUAAGUAUGUUGGUUGUGCAGUUUCCGAAGUAACGCCAUAAGGAUCAUGAAAUGUGUCAUGUGAGUCGGUUUUUGAUGACUUGUGAAUGGAAUGUUUCUGGGUAGAGAAGGAUUCGAUCAAGAAAGAGUUUUAGUAGACCUUGAGACUAUGGAUGAGUUUCCUCAAAGUAUUCAGGUGAUUAAGUUAACCUGAAGUAACCAGGAAUGGCAAAAGAGAUCAACAGAUGGAUAUGCCACUAAUCGAGUGUGUAAGGUAAAUGGUUUGAUAUUUUUGGAAAAUUCACCGCGAACAGAAAUGACGAGAAUUGGAAAAGAGACAAGAUAAGAUUUAGACACAUCAGACCAUUUUUUUUUUCUCACUAAAGGAAUCAAUAAAGUUGCAUACAAGUUUGUGAUGCCUUCAGAAUUGGCUAAGGCACAUAAUGUAUUUUGUGUUCGAUGCGUUGUCACUAAGUGGCAGGGUCGUUACAUGGGACUUUGGUGCAACUAUUGAGAAUUAAGCCGGAUAUGAUUGGUGAGGAACUAAUGUCGACUUUGGAUUGGAAAAAGAAGGUCCUAAGAAUUAAGACAGAGUAAGUAGUAAAAGCUUUGUGAAGGAAAUCAUUCAGUAGAAAAUUGUGUGGGAGAAAGAGAAUCGGAUGAGAGAGAUUUAUCCGAGGCUAUUGUAUGAGUAUAGAUGAUUUGGUUGGUUGCUGGAAUUUCGGGGACGAAAUUCUAUAAGGAGGGGAGAUUGUCACAGCCCGCGCCGGAAUUUUUAAUUCCGAGGACAUGAAAUUACGGAAAUGUCCCUAAUACGUGACUAAGGUAUAAUUUUCACGUUCGUUAUAUCUAAGCUCCAAAAAAAUUUGGUAAUUGGAGUGGAGACUUAGACUUAAAUUUUAUGAUGGAAUUUUAUGAAAUUGGGAUUGGUUUGGACAUGUGGGAUCCCCACACCUCAAAACCCUCCCCAUUUCCCGUAUACUGUCCUUCAUACUCUCUCUCUUCCUCAGCUCUUCCUCAGAAACUCUCAUUCUCUCUCUUCUUCUCGAACGCACGGGCAACCACCAAAACCACCUAAAACCUAUACCAACGUUCCAUUUAAGACCACCAUCGUGAUCCUGGGGACUUCACGAGCACGGGGAUACCAAUUUCAGGUGAGUUUCACUUCGAAAACCCUAGUUCUAAAGUUGCCGUGAGAUGACACUGUUCAUGAGCUUUGAAUUGGUUACGUUUUAG